This 207-nucleotide ribosomal RNA is filed under the name uncultured Lactobacillus sp. Its description in RNAcentral is "partial 16S ribosomal RNA". It matches the Rfam family "Bacterial small subunit ribosomal RNA", at positions 154 to 355 of the family's 1533-position model. The record is from RNAcentral. Lineage: Bacteria; Bacillati; Bacillota; Bacilli; Lactobacillales; Lactobacillaceae.
AAACAGAUGCUAAUACCGGAUAACAACAGAUGAUGCCUAUCAACUGUUUAAAAGAUGGUUCUGCUAUCACUCUUGGAUGGACCUGCGGUGCAUUAGCUAGUUGGUAGGGUAACGGCCUACCAAGGCGAUGAUGCAUAGCCGAGUUGAGAGACUGAUGGCCACAUUGGGACUGAGACACGGCCCAAACUCCUACGGGAGGCAGCAGCC